GGAGGAUCCGAGCGUUAUCCGGAUNNAUNGGGUNUAAAGGGAGCGUAGGUGGACUGGUAAGUCAGUNGUGAAAGUUUGCGGCUCAACCGUAAAAUNGCAGUNGAUACUGUCAGUCUUGAGUACAGUAGAGGUGGGCGGAAUUCGUGGUGUAGCGGUGAAAUGCUUAGAUAUCACGAAGAACUCCGAUUGCGAAGGCAGCUCACUGGACUGCAACUGACACUGAUGCUCGAAAGUGUGGGUAUCAAACAGGAUUAGAUACCCUGGUAGUCCACACAGUAAACGAUGAAUACUCGCUGUUUGCGAUAUACAGUAAGCGGCCAAGCGAAAGCACUAAGUAUUCCACCUGGGGAGUACGCCGGCAACGGUGAAACUCAAAGGA
This 379-nucleotide ribosomal RNA is filed under the name uncultured bacterium. RNAcentral's name for it is "bacterial SSU rRNA". It matches the Rfam family "Bacterial small subunit ribosomal RNA", at positions 527 to 908 of the family's 1533-position model. The record is from RNAcentral.